Molecule: long non-coding RNA, 9242 nt
Organism: Panthera uncia (snow leopard)
Lineage: Eukaryota; Metazoa; Chordata; Mammalia; Carnivora; Felidae
Exons: 2
Source: RefSeq, a predicted model, not a curated record
AUUCAAAAACAUAUAUUUUCUCCUUGUUAAUAGAUCAUUGUUUCAAUUAUACUACUCUAAUGUACAUAUAUAAUGUAUUAUUCUUUGUGUUUUAAAAUGCUUAUAUGACUGAUGGGUAUGUUCUUACAUACGUAAUAAAAGGAGAACGUCACUAGAGUACAUUUAAGGUAAAUCUGCCUUGGGCUCGUCCUACAGACUGAAUGUGUUUCCCUAAGGUUGGUGAUGAAAUCUAUUGCUCUAAUGUGAUGGUAUUUGGAGCUGGUUCCUUCAAGAGGUGAUUAGGUCAGUGGGUGGAUCCCUUAUCAGUGGAAUGAGUACCUUUAGAAAAGAGACCCCAGAGAGCUCUGUCACCCCUUCUUCCAUGUGAGGACAUGGUAAGAAAAUGAAUCAGAAGAGGGUUUCUGUGAACUAGAAAAUGGGUGCUCAUUAGGCAACCAAGAGUUUUUAAUUCCUAGCCUCCAGAACUGUGAGAAAUUUCUGUUGUUUAUAAGCCCCUUAGUCUGUGGUAUUUUUGUUGUAGCAUCCUGAAUGGAAUGCUUCGAAAGUUGGUACUGAGAAGUGGGGGACUGCUGUAACAAAUAUCGAAACAUGUAGAAGUAGCUUUGGAACUGGGUUUUGAGGAACACGUUAGAAAAAGCCUAUCUUACUGUGAAUGGACCUUUAAAGGGGAUGCUGGUGAGGACUCAGAAAGAAAAGAGGAGAGCCGUAGAGAAAGUCUUAAUAUUCUUAGAGAAUACAUAAGUAAUCUGAAUAGAAUGUUGGUAGAAAUAUGUAUGAUAAAGGCCAUUCUGAUGAGGUCUCAGACAAAAAUGUGAGACAUGUUACUGGAAAUUAGAGGAAAAGCAACCGUGGUGAAGUGGCGUUGACCUUAAAAAACAAAAGAGCCAGUUAUUUUAUCAGCAAAAUGACUUUAUUUAGGAAGAGCAGAGGAAUGGCAGUUUGGGACCAGCAAACUCUAGAGAACCACAGACAACUUCAGAGAACAGAGGAAAGGGCUUACUUUUAUAGGAGAAAGGAGGAAGCUGGGAGGAGCGGUUUUCUCGGAGUCCUUAUUGGCUGGGUUUUGCUGGGCGGGAGCAAGUCUUUCUUCUGCUGGGGCGUGUAAAGUAAGCCUCUUCCUGUCAGGGAGUGUGAUGUAGGCUUAGGGCAGGUAGUAAUGUGGGGGAGCUUCCCCUUCAGGGCUGCCUACUCCAUUUUAUUAUAUUUUAUUAUAUUAUAUUAUAUUUUAUUUUAUUAUAUUUUAUUUUAUUUUAUUAUUUCAUUUUAUUUUAAUUUAAUUUAAUUUAAUUUAAUUUAAUUUAAUUUUAUUUUAUUUUAUUUUAUUUUUUCCUACUCCAUUUUAAAUGAAGUUUCCUUUUUUUCAUAGUGGAAAAGAACUUGCCUGAAUUGUGUUUUAGUGUUUUGGUGAAAAUAGAACUUGUGAGCAAAGAAAUCAGAUGUAUUUACCUAAGCAAACUCUCGAAGGUGUGGGUUGACUCCUCCUGACUGACUGCUUUAGUAAAACGCGAACAGAAAGAUGGAACCGUUAAGCAAAAAGGAAGGCGAACUGAAAAGAUUUGUAAAAUUCUCAGUCUUUCCAUGUUGCAAAAAGUGAGAAAGUGGUUAGAAGAGAGCACUAAGGAUGUGGCCAGUGGACCAUUUAAGAUUUGUGUAGCUCAGCUGUUUCUACAUUCGCUAGGAGCUUUGAUGGGACAGGCCUCUCCCGUCACAGCUCCUAGUGCCGGGGCCCGCCCUGGGGAGCAGAGUGCUUUCAGAGCAAAAGCUGCCAGAGCUUGGAGACCUGCUUGCUGCCUGGUGCUGCCUCACUCUGAGGGCUCUUCUUGGAGCACUGCCGGCCCCAGGUGCAGCCCCUGCCUUCCAGAGGGUGCAGGCAGCAAACUUUGAUGGAGGGUAUUGUUUCCAGCAGGGAAGAGUGUACAGGCUCAGGGGACGUGGCUGCCUCCACCUGGAUUUCAAAGGAUGGAGCCACCCAAAACCAUUAGGUACUGGGCUGCCUGGAGCCUCGGGGCCCAGCCUCUGCCGGGUAAAGCUGCUUGGACAGGACUUGCCCCAGUGGGUCCUGUAGGCAAGCCCUCUGUCCUAGGGGUCCUUGACCACAGCUUAUCAUGUCAAAGAGGAUUAUUAUAGAGCCUUAAGGUCUAAUGGAACUUGCCCUGUUGGGUUUUAGACUUGUUGGGGAUCUAUCACUCUUUUCUUGUUUUCUCUGUCUCCCUUCUGGAGCAGAAAUGUCUGUUUUAGGAAGCAUUUAACUUGUUCGAUUUCACUGACUCACAGCCAGAGUGCAGUUUACCUCAGGUUGAAUGGUACCUUGAGUCUCACUCACAUAAGAUUUAGUUGAUAUUCAGGUGAGACUUAGAACUUUAGACUUUUGAGUUGAUGCUGGAAUGAAUUAGGACUUUUUGGGGCUGUCGGAAUGGAAUGAAUAUAUUUUUAAUGUGAAAAGGAUGUGAAUUUGGGGGUACCAAGGGCAAAAUGGUAAGUUUCAAUUGCCGUAUCUUCUCAUCUACUUACCUUCUGCAGUUUUUACUCUAGACGUUUUAUUUGGGAUGCUUUUUAAUAAUUGCCAUUACCUCAUCAUGUUCAUUUUUUUCCCUCAUUUUUUUUUUAUUAAGUGGAAUAUAUCGUAGUACCUGAUUUAACUUUCUUGGUUGGUAAUUCUGCCAUGUCUGUCAUUUCUUGCUAUCCUACUGAUUGAUGUUUCUUCUAGUUAUGGGUCAUAUUUUCCUGCUGUUUUGAAUGCCUACAAUUUUUUAUUGGAUGGUGGAUAUUAUAAUGUAAAUUUGUAACUUACAUUGUUGCCUGCUGGAUUUUAUUAUAUUCUUUAGUGCUGGCCUUUUUCUGGCACUGUUAGGUAAUGGGUGGUUUACCUAGCUGCUUUUGAGAGCUUCUUUAUCUUCGUCUUCCCCUCCUCCUUUUCCUUCUCCUUCCUUCUUUUGUUAAAUAAUUCAAUAUUUUUAGUAUAUUCACAGAGCUCUACAAUCAUGUCAGUUUUCACCACCCCCAGAAAGAAACCUCUUACCCAUCAGCAGUCACUUUCCAUGUCUUCCCCAACUCCCCCCAACCACAAAUCUACUCCUAAGAAUUUGUACACUUGGGACAUUUCAUAUAAGUGGAAUCAUGCAGGCCACAUGUGCUUUUUGUGACAAGGAGUUGAAUUCCUGAGUCAUAUCAUAACUUUGUGUUUGAUCUUUUGAGGAACCGCCCUCAUGUUUUCAAGGCAUCUGCAUCAUUUUACAUUUCCAAUAGCAGAGUAUGAAGGUCCCAAUUUCUCUACAUCUUGAUUAACACUUGUUACGACCUUUCUUUUUGAUAAUAGACAUACUAGUGGGUGUGAAGUGAUAUCUCAUUGUGGUUUUCUUGAAAAAUCUUUAUAGAUAAAUAAUUCACAUAUCAUACAUUUCAUACUUUUAAAAAGUGUAUGGUAAAGUAAUUUUUAGUAUCUCCAGUUGAUUUUAGAACAUUUUUUCACCCCAAAAGAAGCUCUGUGCUUAUUGGCUAUCACUCUCUCACCCCCUCUUCCUUCUUUAGUCUUAGGCAUCCCCUAAUCUAUGUUCUGUCUCAAUAAAUUUGUCUAUCUAGAUAUUUCAUACAGAUGGAGACAUAUAAUAUGUGACCUUUUAUUACUGGCUUCUUAUACUCAUAAUUCCCACCCCAAGGAAAUCUUUAGUAAAAGGUGAAAGAUUUAUGUGAUCUGGAGAGAAACUCCAGACCGUUAAACUCAUAGAAUUUUCAUGAAGUUCAUCCGUAUUUUUUUUUUGCAUGUAAUCUAUUUAUUUAUUUAUUAAUAUGAAAUUUGUUGUCAGAUUGGUUUCCAUACAACACCCAGUUCUCAUCCCAACAGGUGCCCUCCUCAAUACCCAUCACCCACCCUCCCCUCCCUCCCACCCCUCAUCAACCCUCAGUUUGUUCUCAGUUUUUAAGGGUCUCUUAUGUUUUGGCUCCCUCCCUCUCUAACCUUUUUUUUUUUCCUUUCCCUCCCCCAUGGUCUUCUGUUAAGUUUCUCAGUUCACCCAUAUUGUAACAUCUGUCAGUAGUUAAUUCUUUCAUGGCUGAAUAGUAUGCUGUUGUGUGGAUAAUACCACGUAUUGUUUAACCGUUGAUCAUUUGAUGGACAUUUUGGCUGUUUCUGCCUUUUGUCUGUCAUGAAUAACGUUUCUAUGAACAUUUGUGUACAGUGUGGACAGGUGAUUUCAUUUCUGCAUAUAUACCUAGGAGUGGAAUUGUGGGUCACAUCGUAACUCUAUGGUUCCUUUUUGAGGAACCACCAGACUGUUUUCCAAAGUGGCUGCACCAUUUUACAUUCACACCAGUAGCGUGUGAGGGUUCUGAUUACUCCACAUCCCUAAUAACACUUGUUGUUAUAUGACCUUUUAAAAAUUCUAUCCAUUCUAUUGGGUGUAAAGUGGUAUCUUGUUGUAGUUUUGAUAUAUAUAUUUUUUCUGAUUAGCAGUUCUUUUGGGUAUCUUUGCCUGGCUUACUGGCAACUGUGUAUCUUCUUUGGAGAAAUGUCUAUUCAAAUCCUUUGUCCACUUUUAAAAUGUUUGUUUGUUACUGAGUUGUUAAUAGUUAUAUUUUCUAGAUCCCUUAUCAGAUACUGUAUGAUUUGGAAAUCUUUUCUCCCGUUUUAUGUUUUGUCUUUUCACUGUCUGGAUCUGGAUAGUGUUCUUUGAAGCAAAGAUCUUUAAUUUUAACGAAGCCUCAUUUGUUUAUUUUUGUUGUUGUUGCUUGUGUUUUUGUGUCAUAUCUAAGAAUUCAUUACCAAAUCAAGUUCAUGUGGAAUUUCCCCUGCAGUUUCUUCUAGGAGUUUCCUAGUUUAAGGUUUGCGCCCCUUUAAGUUCAUUUUUGCUGAUGGUUGAGGGUAGGGAUCCACUGUCAUUCUUUUGCAUGUGAAUAUACACCUGUUACUGACUUCCCCCACUUUAUAUAGUGUUUAUAAGGUUCAUACAUGUUGUACCAUGUAUCAGUACAUAAUUCUUUUAUGGAUGAAUGAUAUUCAGCUAAAUAGUAUCAAAUAUAUGAUACAAUAUGGAUAAACUUUAUAAGUAUUGAGUGAAGUGUAAGAAGCCAGUAUCAAAUGGAUAUCUACAUGCAAAUCCCAGCAUCAUUUGAUGAAGAGGCUGUGAGUUCCCAUACUCAGUAGUCUCAGAACCCUUGUCAAAGCAUCAUUUGGCCAUAGAUGAGUGGGUUUGUUUCUGGAUUUUCAAUUCUGUUUCAUUGGUCUAUAUGUCUUAAUGCCAGUACCAUACUCUCUGUAUCACUAUAGUUUUGUAGUAAGUUUUGUAAUCAGUGUGAGUUUUCUAACUUUCUUGUUCUUUUUCAAAAUUGUUUUGAUCUUUCCUAGUCCCUUUAAUUUUUAUAUUAAUUUUAUGAUUAGCUUGUCAAUUUCUGCAAUAAAGACAGCUGAGAUUUCUAUAGGGAUUACCUUGAAUAUAUAGGUCGGUUUGGGGACUACUACUAUCUCAUUGAAAUAAGUCUUCCAAUCCAUGAACAUGAAAUAUCUUUUUGUCUAUUUGGGUCUUCUUUAAUUUUUUUCUGCAGUGUUUUAUAGUGCUCAAUGUAUAAGUCUUACCUCUUAAAUUUAUUUAUAGGUAUUUUAUUCACUUGGAUGCUGUUGUAAAUGGAAUUGUUUUUAUUAUACUUUUUUGGAUUGUUCAUUGUUCAUGUAUAGAAAUAGAGCUGAUUUUUACCUGUUGAUCUUAUGUCCUUUAACUUUGUUGAAUUCAUUUAUAGGCUCUGACAUUUUUUUGGAGGGGUUAACUAUUUUCUGUAUAUAAGAUCAUAUCAUGGGCCAAUAAAGACAAUUUUGAUUCUUCCUGCCCAAUUUGGGUGUCUUUUAUUUUCUUGCCUAAUUGCUCUAGCUAGAACUCUCAUUGCAGUGGUGAAGGUAGGCAUCCUUGUCUUGUUUGUGAUUUUAAGGAUAGAUUUUUAGUCUUUCACUGGUGAUUAUGAUAUUGUUUGUGGGUGUUUCAUAAGUGCUAUUUAUCAGGUUCAGGAAAUUACCUUCAAUUCUUAUUUAAGUAUUUUUUUUAACUCAUUAAGGAGUAUAGAGUUUGUUACUUUUUGUGUAUAAAUCGAGAUGGUCAUUUUUUUUCUUUCAUUACAUUGGUUAUUUUACUAUCUGGAACCACCCUUUUAUUCCUGGGAUAAAUCCCACCUGUACAUGGUAUAUAAUUCUUUUAAUAUUUUGCUGGAUGUGGUUUGCUACUAUUUUGUUGAGGAAAUUUGCAUCUAUAUUCAUGAAGGAUAUUGGUCUGUAGUUUUCUUGUAGUGUCUUUGUUUGGCUUUGGUAUCAGGGUAAUGCUGGACUAAUUAAGUUGUUUAGGAACUGUUACUUUUUCUUUUUUUUUUUUUUUUGAAGAUUUUGAGAAAGAUUUAUUGUCAUUUUUCUUUAAAUGCUUGAUGGAAUUGUCCAGUGAAGCCAUCUGGUUCUGAGCUUCUCUUGGGAAGUUUUUGAUUAUGGAUUUAAUCUCUUCAUCUUGUAUAGGUCUAUUUAUAGUUUCUGCUUUUUUCUUAAAUGAGCUUUGAUAGAUUGUGUGUUUCUAGGGAUUUUUCCAUUUUAUCUAGGUCAUCUAAUUGUUGGCAAAUAUUUUUUCAUCAUAUUUUAUUACAUUCUUUUUAUUUCUGUAAUGUUGAUAGUGUUGUCCUCACUUUCAUUUCUGAUUUUGGUAGUUUGAAUCUUUUCUCUUUCUUUCUUGUUUAGUUUAGCUAAAGGCUUGUCAGUAUUCUUUAUUUUUUUCAAAUAAACAAUGUUUGGUUUCAUUCUUUUUUUUUUCCCCCUGAAUUGCUUUUCUAUUCUCUUUGCCUGUAGUGUUUAUUAUUUUCUUUUUUCUAUUGGCUUUGGGUUUAGUCUCCUUUUUUCAAAGUUACUAAUGGUAUCUAGGGAGAUUAUUGAUUUGAGAUCUUUAUACUUUUUUAAUAUAGAUGUUUACAGUAUAAUUUCCCUCUAUCUGGUUUUGCUGAAUCCAGUAUUUUGAUAUGUUGGUUUUUUUGCUUUUAUUUUUCUCUAUGUAUUUUCUAAUUUCCUUUGUGAUUUAUUCUUUGACCCAUUGUUCGUGUGUUAAUUUUCACACAUUUGUGAAUUUUCCAGUUUUUCUUUCGUUAUGGUUUCUAGUUUCAUUCCAUUUUUGUCAGAGAAGAUAUUUUGGAUGAUUUCAGUCCUUAUAAGUGUAUUCAUAUUUCUUUUGUGACCUAACUUAUGGCCUAUUCUUGUGAAUAUUCCAUUUACAUUUGUGAAAAAUGUAUAUUCUGCUUUUGUGGGGUUGUAUUCUGUAUAUGUCUAUUAGUUGAUUUAUAGCACAAUUCAGUUUUUCUUACUGUUUUUUCUUAUUGUUCUUCAGUCUUGUUUUACUGUCUUUUUAAAAAUUUUUUAAGUUUAUUUAUUUUGAGAGAGAGCACAAGCAGGGUAGGGGCAUAGAGAGAAGGGAGAGAGAGAGAAUUCCAGGCAGGCACUUGCUGUCAGUGCAGGGUCCGAAGUGGAGCUCGAACUCGUGAACUGAGAGGUCAUGACCUGAGCCGAAGGCAGAUGCUUAACCCACUGAACCACCGAGGCACCACUCGUUUUUCUGUCUUAUUGAGAACGGUGUAUUGAACUUUUCAGGUAUUAUUGCUGAAUUGUCUAUUUCUCCUUUCAGUUUUCAUUUUUUGGUUUACAUGUUACAUCUUUUGGGGCUAAUUUCUUACGUAUGUAUAUGUUUAUAUUUACAUUUUCUUAAGGAUUUAAAUUUUCAUAAUGCUCUUUGUCUUUUGUAAACUUUUGACUUAAAAUCUGUUUUGUCUGAUAUUAGUAUAGCCAUCCCGGCUUUUUUUUUAUUAAAAAAUUUUUUUUAAAUGUUUAGUUUUGAGAGAGAGAGAGAGAGAGCGAGCAGGGGAGGGGCAGAGAGAGGGGGAGACACAGAAUUCAAAGCAGGCUCCAGGCUCUAAGCUGUCAGCAAAGAGUCCGACAUGGGGCUUGAACUCGCAGACUGUGAGAUCGUGAACUGAGCCCAAGUCAGACGCUUAACAGACUGAGCCCCCCAGGUGCCCCACCAGCUUUCUUUUGCUUACUAUUUGCGUGGGCUAUGUUUUUCCAUCUUUCCCAUUUCAAAUUAAAAUGUCUUUAGAUUUAUUUAUUUAUUUUAUUUUUUAAAGAUUUUAUUUUAUUUUUAGAGAGAGAACACGAGUAGGGGAGAGUAGCAGAGGGAGAAGGGGAGAGAGAAUCCCACUAAUUAAAAAAACUGAGAUUUCAGGACUAUAGAUGACAAAGAAUACAGACUUUAUAGUUUAGAAAAGUCAAUAAACAACUGCCACCCAAAACAAGUGACAAAAACAAAGGAAUUUUGAAUUUUUCCGGUAAAUGUGAAUACUUUCCUGUUUUUAUGCCUGCUUUAUAAAUUUUGGUUGAACAUUGAAAUGUUGGCCAUUUCAAAUUUGUAAUGUAGCAACCAGAAAUCUGAUUCCAACUCCGUUUACUUCUAUUUAUUUUUGGUGUUGUUACCAUACUUAUCGUGUGUUUUCCUUCUGUAGACAUCACAGGACACUUAUAUUAUUGUUGCGUUAAACAAUCAUUGUUCUUUUAUAUUUAUCCUUUCCCUUGUUCCUCAUUCUUGCCUGUAGCUCCCUGCUUCCAUCUGCCAUCUCUUCCUUUCAGCCUGGAGAACUCCUUUCAGUAUUGCUUGUGUUGCAGGUCUGCUGGUGACAGAUACCUUCCGCUCCUAAUUAUCUGAAAUGUCUUUUCUUUGUCUUUAUUUUUCCUUCAAACUCUCUAAGCUUGCUGAAUUUGUGGGGCAGUGUGUGUUUAGCUUUGGAAAACUCUUGGCUGCGCUUUCUUCAGUUUCAUGUGAGUCUGGUCCAUUUGACAUGGCUUACAUGCCUUUUAUAUACUCUGUUCCGUUCUUCCCAUUCUGUUACUUUUUGUGCUUCAAUUUAUGUUUGUUUUUUUAUUGACUUGCCUUCUGUUGACUAAUCCUAUCUUCUGUUGUAUGUAGUGUCCUGUUAAAUCCGUCUGUUGGUCCGUGAAUUAACAGUAUCAGUAAUACCAGGGAGCUUAAAAAGAAAUGCAGUAUCUCUCUCAGGCCCCUUGCCAGAAUCCGUGAAUAAGAAUCUUUUCUUUUUCAACAAAAAUCAUGCUUUUCAAGCUUUUCAACAAAAACCGUGGAAGCCAAAAGACAAUCUCCAGGUUGUUAUUAUGAACGUUAAAUUUUGAAAAAUACUAAUCUGCCUCAUUCUAGCUUAUUCAGUUAGGGGAAACAAAAACCUGUUUAUUU